AUUGAACGCUGGCGGCAUGCUUUACACAUGCAAGUCGAACGGCAGCGCGGGGGCAACCCUGGCGGCGAGUGGCGAACGGGUGAGUAAUGCAUCGGAACGUAUCCUGUAAUGGGGGAUAACUAAUCGAAAGAUUAGCUAAUACCGCAUACGCUCGGGAGAGGAAAGUGGGGGAUCGCAAGACCUCACGUUAUAGGAGCGGCCGAUGUCUGAUUAGCUAGUUGGUGAGGUAAAGGCUCACCAAGGCGACGAUCAGUAGCUGGUCUUAGAGGAUGAUCAGCCACACUGGGACUGAGACACGGCCCAGACUCCUACGGGAGGCAGCAGUGGGGAAUUUUGGACAAUGGGGGCAACCCUGAUCCAGCCAUGCCGCGUGCGGGAAGAAGGCCUUCGGGUUGUAAACCGCUUUAGUCUAGGAAAAAGGAAUGCAGGAUUAAUACCCUUGUGUUUUGAUGGUACUGGAAGAAUAAGCACCGGCUAACUACGUGCCAGCCGCCGCGGUAA
RNAcentral lists this ribosomal RNA (501 nucleotides) under uncultured bacterium. Its description in RNAcentral is "partial 16S ribosomal RNA". It matches the Rfam family "Bacterial small subunit ribosomal RNA", at positions 30 to 523 of the family's 1533-position model. The record is from RNAcentral.